This 269-nucleotide long non-coding RNA is filed under the name Brassica napus (rape). Its description in RNAcentral is "long non-coding RNA (BNAP_LNC024435)". The record is from RNAcentral. Lineage: Eukaryota; Viridiplantae; Streptophyta; Magnoliopsida; Brassicales; Brassicaceae.
AGUAAGUGCUUUAGAGUUGAACUUUGAUGCGGCUUUUUCAGAUUCUGUCCAUCUCUCCUUCGGUUUGGGAGCAUAUGUUUUAUCUUCCAUGAGCAUAGUAGGUGCCGACCAGCCUAUUUCAACAGCAGUCCAAGCGUCUUCAUCUAUUCCGCGAAUGAUAUGUCUCAUACGUGCUUUCCAAUGGACAAAACUCCCUUCAUCCAGCAUGUAGAGACUCGGUAGGGUGAUGAAUUCUUUCAUGGUUUCAAGACUUCUUCCGCAGGACCUCA